UUGUAGCUGACCAUCGAACAGCCUAGCGAUCGAUUAUUGAAGACGCUAAUCAAUCGACACACACUUUGUGUUGUCGAUCGACAUCGAAGCGCGAAAAUGCCAGAUUUGGUUCCAACUGACUUUAAGCUCAAGUCCCACAAGAAUUACCGGAUUCUCCCUGACGAGUUUUAACCUAAUAUUUAUGUGCUUUGCCAUUGUUCUAGGCAACACACGUUUUCUACACUUUCAUACUUUCUUACAGCAAAAUACUUAGAAUCUUAGGUUUGGAGAGAAGAUCCAAGAACUCCUUCAGAGAUUUGUGAUUGGAACUCCAAGUUUUUCUACUCUUAUCUAUUUAUGCAGUUUUCAUAUUUAUUUGUUAUGAAUUGCUUGGCUAUGUCUGAUUAGUUCUCUUUGUUAGAUUUAUGGUUCAGAUAUUCAUAAGGGAUUAGCCCAAAAUAUAGAAUUACUAAGUGUUAGAAUAUCUAUCAAUUAAAAUGUUCUUAAUGCUUUUGUUCUAAAAUAGCUAAUUAGGACAUUGCCUAUAGAUAUUAGGGCGAAAGCGAAAGCUUGGUUCUUUUCAUAUCUGUUUCAAAACCCAAUCAAUCAACCGAGCAAUUACUUUGUUCAAACCACUGCUAUUUACAUUUAAACCUAGGUGAUGAUUGUUUGGGGUAGUUUUUAGUUUUUGUUUUUGGUUUUUAGAUUUUGGUUUUAGUUUUUGGUUUUUGGUUUUUAGCUUUUUAUUUUUGAUUUUCAGCUUUUUGUUUUGGUUUUUGGUUUUUAGAUUUUGAUUUUGAUUUUGGUUUUUGGUUUUGGUGUAGUUUUUAAGUUUAUCAAAAAAGCAAGUAAUACAUUAUUUUAAAAUAAUACAACAAAAAGACAAAUUAAACAUUUAGAAGUUACUAUUAAAACUGAUCAAAAUAUUGUGAUUCUUAUUUAAAACAUAAAAAUACAUUACCGUGUUUUUAAUUACUAUAUUUUUUUAAUACAUUAUACUAAAAUAUAAAUCAUAAAUAUAUCUAAAUUAUUUUUAUUUUUUAAAACUUGAAUGGAAACUUUCUAUUUUAAAAAUUAAUAUAUUAUAUUUGGUUAUUAAAAAAUAUUUUAUGUUUUUAUAAUUUUUAGUUAUUUUUGAAUGUCUAAUAAAUUAUUCAAUAAUUAUAUUUAUAGAAUUUAAUAACUAGUAUUUACAAUUAGUUUACACUUUGUUAGUAUUAUAAAUAAAUAUCUAAAUUUAUUUUACAUAUAUGAAAUAAAAAUAAAUUAUUUCACAUUAUUAAAACAAAAUUACUUAAACAAAAAGAUAGAAAGUAUAUACAUCUA
RNAcentral lists this long non-coding RNA (1305 nucleotides) under Brassica rapa (field mustard). RNAcentral describes it as "long non-coding RNA (BRAP_LNC006701)". The record is from RNAcentral. Lineage: Eukaryota; Viridiplantae; Streptophyta; Magnoliopsida; Brassicales; Brassicaceae.